AGGAGCGAGCCCUGGCGCGACUUCUCGCGGGGCCGCGGACUGCAGGUCUCUCAGCCCACGGGGGUGUCCGCUCUGUCCUUCCGCACUGGACGCGGGAAAACGGACAGCAGAUCUAAGGAGACCUGCAUCGCUAUUGAAUGAGCUUCACAAGAAGAAAACACAUGUCUGAAAGUGCUUCAAGUGCCUUCUCGCUCAAGAUUUGCUCUCCCCAAUCUGCUCCCAAGAAAGUGCCAAGGCGAGCCGCUGACUCAAAUAGCGAACCUUGCCGCCCUUUGUCAUUGGAUCCCCAACUUCAAGACUUUUUGCCUGGAUGGAGGGCAGUGGGUGAUCACCCCGAUAGGGCACCACCAGCAGACUGAGCCUCAAAGAGUAGCUGUGCCUUCAUAUAGUCCUAGGGGUCCAGGGUCUGGAGGUUUACAUUUUCCUGGCAUCCCUGCCUCUGGGGUUCUGGUUUGUUUAUGUGCUCUUUCCCACACCAUUUCAAACCCAAGGGAGUGAAAUGCGAGCUGCGGAAAAGCCAACUCAAGCCUGCUUCUGCAACCGCAGAGGGACCGCAGCGGUCUGGAAGAAGGAUGAGCUUUGAGUUCUGUUUCAUCAGUUACCUGAAGCUGUUCCUAUGCAGCUAUCCGAGCUCCGCCCUCCUCUGAAGCACACGGUCCUAGAAUAGCGGGAAGGUCGUGGACCUCACAUCUGUUUGGAAGAAAGGAGACAGCUCUUUUUUCAUGUCUUACUCCUAAGAGGGAGGAAAUGCUUCAUGAAAAGAUGCUAAACAACUGUUGUCAUUAGAGAAAUGCAAACUAAAGCCACAAGGAGAUACCACUCCAUCUCUACCAGGAUGUGAUCAAAAAGACAGCCUAACAAAUAGUGAGGAUGUGGUGAAACGGGACCCUCGUUUGUUUCUGGUAGGAAUAUAAAAUGGUGCAGCCAUUUUGGAAAGCAGUUUGGCAGUUAUUAAAAGUGUAAAUAUAAAUUUACCAUAUGAUUCACCCACUCCUAGGUAUUUAUAAUUGAGAGAAAUGAAAAUAUAUGUCCUUGUAAAGACUUGUGUGAUAAUGUUCACAGCAGCAUUACACACAUAGAAAUUCUAUAGGAUCAAUGACAGGUGGACUAAUUCUUCAAUAAAUAAAUUGGAGGGAGGAAAAAAACAGAGAUGGAGAGAGGAUCUGUAGAUUAAAAGACACUGAAGAAA
This 1189-nucleotide long non-coding RNA is filed under the name Sus scrofa (pig). RNAcentral's name for it is "lncRNA (ENSSSCG00040014383.1, ENSSSCG00045009570.1, ENSSSCG00060018094.1)". Lineage: Eukaryota; Metazoa; Chordata; Mammalia; Artiodactyla; Suidae. The record is from RNAcentral.